CGCCUCAGAAACCAAAACUGGAGUGAGUGAAGAGGGCACAAACUCAAUUAUAUUAGAAUGAAAAGAAAACUAUUGGGUUUGAAAAGAUAGAUCUUUUAGCUGUUGAGGAUCAACCUCUGACGGCGCCCGAGUAAGGGCACACUGUGCAGUUGUGGUCUUUGGGAAAGCAAUGACAUCCCUGAUGGAAUUAGCAUCGGCCAACAACAUAACCAAUCUAUCCAAACCAUAUGCAAUUCCCCCAUGU
RNAcentral lists this unclassified non-coding RNA (244 nucleotides) under Hevea brasiliensis (rubber tree). The record is from RNAcentral. Lineage: Eukaryota; Viridiplantae; Streptophyta; Magnoliopsida; Malpighiales; Euphorbiaceae.